Molecule: ribosomal RNA, 503 nt
Filed under: uncultured bacterium
Lineage: Bacteria
Description: partial 16S ribosomal RNA
Rfam family: Bacterial small subunit ribosomal RNA
Source: RNAcentral
AUUGAACGCUGGCGGCAGGCUUAACACAUGCAAGUCGAGCGGGGUGAUGGUGCUUGCACUAUCACUUAGCGGCGGACGGGUGAGUAAUGCUUAGGAAUCUGCCUAUUAGUGGGGGACAACAUCUCGAAAGGGAUGCUAAUACCGCAUACGUCCUACGGGAGAAAGCAGGGGAUCACUUGUGACCUUGCGCUAAUAGAUGAGCCUAAGUCGGAUUAGCUAGUUGGUGGGGUAAAGGCCUACCAAGGCGACGAUCUGUAGCGGGUCUGAGAGGAUGAUCCGCCACACUGGGACUGAUACACGGCCCAGACUCCUACGGGAGGCAGCAGUGGGGAAUAUUGGACAAUGGGGGGAACCCUGAUCCAGCCAUGCCGCGUGUGUGAAGAAGGCCUUAUGGUUGUAAAGCACUUUAAGCGAGGAGGAGGCUCUUUUGGUUAAUACCCAAGAUAAGUGGACGUUACUCGCAGAAUAAGCACCGGCUAACUCUGUGCCAGCCGCCGCCGUAA